ACUCAUGGAUUUCCGUGUCCAACGUUUGACCGUUCAUCUUAUUUGAAAAAAUGUGAAAAAAAAUUAAAAAGACAAGUCACACAUAAAGUAUUAAUCAUGUUUUAUCAUCUAACAACAAUGAAAAUACUAAUUAUAAAAAUAAAUCAUAUAAAACGGAGAGUCAAACGUUGGACACGGAAACCCAGGGUUUUUUUUUUU
This 198-nucleotide microRNA precursor is filed under the name Oryza rufipogon (brownbeard rice). RNAcentral describes it as "MIR812 microRNA precursor family". It matches the Rfam family "MIR812 microRNA precursor family". The record is from Rfam by way of RNAcentral. Lineage: Eukaryota; Viridiplantae; Streptophyta; Magnoliopsida; Poales; Poaceae.